GGUCCCAUGGUGUAAGGGGCAGCACUCAGGACUCUGAAUCCUGCAAUCUGAGUUUAAAUCUCAGUGGGACUU
Transfer RNA from Pelodiscus sinensis (Chinese soft-shelled turtle), 72 nucleotides. It matches the Rfam family "tRNA". From Rfam's summary of the family: Transfer RNA (tRNA) molecules are approximately 80 nucleotides in length. Their secondary structure includes four short double-helical elements and three loops (D, anti-codon, and T loops). Further hydrogen bonds mediate the characteristic L-shaped molecular structure. tRNAs have two regions of fundamental functional importance: the anti-codon, which is responsible for specific mRNA codon recognition, and the 3' end, to which the tRNAs corresponding amino acid is attached (by aminoacyl-tRNA synthetases). tRNAs cope with the degeneracy of the genetic code in two manners: having more than one tRNA (with a specific anti-codon) for a particular amino acid; and 'wobble' base-pairing, i.e. permitting non-standard base-pairing at the 3rd anti-codon position. NCBI's taxonomy places the organism in Eukaryota, Metazoa, Chordata, Testudines, Trionychidae. The record is from Rfam.